UCAGGUCGCAAUCACGCACUGACUUACCAGCUGUACUGCUAUGGAAGACUUUGAGUUGGUUUAUACCGAAAAUGAUGAGACUUUCGACACAUUUAAUGACCUUAGCAAGGAUGAAGAUACUGACAGUGAUACACAAAGCUCUGACAUAGAUGCAGAUAACUUGAAUAAACAGACAAUUCAGUAACAUAGGAGCUAUAGAUAUUUCAGAAGUUCUUAUUCCAG
This 222-nucleotide long non-coding RNA is filed under the name Amphimedon queenslandica. Its description in RNAcentral is "uncharacterized LOC109588646". Lineage: Eukaryota; Metazoa; Porifera; Demospongiae; Haplosclerida; Niphatidae. The record is from RNAcentral.